Molecule: ribosomal RNA, 253 nt
Filed under: uncultured bacterium
Lineage: Bacteria
Description: partial 16S ribosomal RNA
Rfam family: Bacterial small subunit ribosomal RNA
Source: RNAcentral
UACGGGGGGGGCAAGCGUUGUUCGGAAUUACUGGGCGUAAAGGGCUCGUAGGUGGCCAACUAAGUCAUGCGUGAAAUCCCUCGGCUUAACCGGGGAACUGCGUCUGAUACUGGAUGGCUUGAGUUUGGGAGAGGGAUGCGGAAUUCCAGGUGUAGCGGUGAAAUGCGUAGAUAUCGUAAGGAAGACCAGUGGCGAAGGCGGGUCUCUGGACAGUUCCUGACGCUGAGGCACGAAGGCCAGGGGAGCAAACGGG